CCAACCUUGGUUUUAUACCGGUUUGGACUGCCCACACUCCAGCACAGCAGGUGAUGGUAAGCACCUUUUCAGGUCAUUUACAAACUGCCAAUACAAUCAUAGAAGUAGAAAAAUAAGAAAUGGACUACUUUAUUAAAUUAAAGGUAUUCCUCAAUGGCACUGCGCAUUCUGUCACAGAGGUGGCCAUUGCAAAGCAAUGCUGUCAACAUGUUUGCCACAGCAGAGGGCCUCCUGACCCAACAGGACCUCGUCAACAAAGACUGACUACAGGAAGUGUUUGUCACAAACCUCUUUGGUCAUUUCAUGCUGCACUCGCUGUUUGUGCAAAAACCGGAGUCCCUGGAUCCAAGAGCAAAGUACCACAGUUUGACGUCAGGCAUAGGGAGCAACUACACGCAACCUCGACAAAUGGACGUUGAUGACGACGUGUCAGAGGCCCUGUAUGUGAAACUGCUGGAAAUGGAAAAAGCUAUUCAUAAGAGAUUAAAAGAGGAGGAUGAUAAACAAGCUUACAAAAAGUACCUCCACCAGACAGAGUCGUCUUUUGUCCGGCUAUUCUCCUCGACUGACCUAGUUUAAAACCACUUGACUUUUAUUCUAUAAGAUAGAAUCUAUAUGGAUGAAACGGUUUUACUCACAAUGUGAAUGGAAGGAAACCGUGUGCUCUGUAUAAAUUGACCAUCGCCAUGAGGCACUACACUCUCAUUGUCUUACGUCAGAUGGCGUCACUACUACGCAACGCUUGUCACCUCAACCAAUCAGUGCAGGUGGAAUCGUGGCGCUAUCUGACGUAAGACAAUGGAGGAACCCUCUAACACAGAUCACAUGGGUCUCUUUCAGGUUCCAAAUAACACCUAUACUGAAACGCUAUUAAAAUGGAAUUCAAUGGGGGACAUUUGUUAUCGUCACUUUGAAAGGGACUAGGCUGUAAAUUCCUGCUGCUAACUCAUUGAUCUAAAUGUGGUGGCUCUAUACUAUGAAGACCUUUUGUGAAUUAUAAAGCGCAGAUGGUAAUAACUUGACCAAAAUUAGAUAAAUGAUGUAAAAGCAUUCAUUUUCUGUGAGUGUUAGGUUCACAGGUGCUGCCUUAUGGUAAGAUGAAGAGCUAUUUGUGAGUUGUUGAAUUUUAAUUAAAAUAUACGU
Long non-coding RNA from Oncorhynchus mykiss (rainbow trout), 1143 nucleotides. RefSeq lists it as uncharacterized. The record is from RefSeq and is a predicted model, not a curated record. NCBI's taxonomy places the organism in Eukaryota, Metazoa, Chordata, Actinopteri, Salmoniformes, Salmonidae.